This 424-nucleotide ribosomal RNA is filed under the name Wolterstorffina parvipalmata (Cameroon Wolterstorff Toad). Its description in RNAcentral is "partial 16S ribosomal RNA". It matches the Rfam family "Bacterial large subunit ribosomal RNA", at positions 1857 to 2484 of the family's 2925-position model. The record is from RNAcentral. Lineage: Eukaryota; Metazoa; Chordata; Amphibia; Anura; Bufonidae.
GCCUGCCCAGUGACCCUGUUCAACGGCCGCGGUAUCCUAACCGUGCAAAGGUAGCGUAAUCACUUGUUCUUUAAAUAUGGACUAGUAUGAACGGCACCACGAGGGCUAUACUGUCUCCUUUUCCCAAUCAGUGAAACUAAUCUCCCCGUGAAGAAGCGAGGAUAAAAUUAUAAGACGAGAAGACCCCAUGGAGCUUUAAACAAUGUAGCACCUGCCCCACGAUAUAAAAAUUUCUGAAUUCAAACCCACCAAGCAGCAUGACUAUAAGUUUUUGGUUGGGGUGACCACGGAGCAUAAAACAACCUCCACGCUGAAAGAAUCUUUUUUUAAGCUAAGAACUACCCAUCUAAGCAUCAAUUUAUUGACACCCAUUGACCCAAUAUACUUGAACAACGAACCAAGUUACCCUGGGGAUAACAGCGCA